UNAGGGAAAGCUGCAAAGUACUCUGAAGAGAGAGUUCAAUAGGACGUGAACCCGUCUGCAGGGAAACGGCUGAGACCGCACGUUCGACCUACCGCGGAUUCAGCCCGAGGGUCGCCCUUCGGGUCGACUUCCGCGACGGUAGGCUGCGUGGGGAUCGAUUUUCGCCUCGCUUAAAGUCGAAGGGGGCGGUAGCGGGAGGAUUCGUCUUUCCGCGAUAUACCCCUUCGUUCGUUGGCCGAGGCGGAGAUCGAGGAAUUUGCCCGUCCGUCUUUUCGGAGACGACGGGACCGAGGGUCGUCGCGAAGGUUCGACUGGAUUGGGGCUGGUCUCCGACCGGCCUCGUUCGACCGCCGUCGCGUUCUUUUCCGCGGUCUCGGUCUGCGGCGGCGUGAUCNNCCACGCUCAGGUCGGCACCUCAACCGACCC
This 426-nucleotide ribosomal RNA is filed under the name Serratosagitta serratodentata. RNAcentral describes it as "partial 28S ribosomal RNA". Lineage: Eukaryota; Metazoa; Chaetognatha; Sagittoidea; Aphragmophora; Sagittidae. The record is from RNAcentral.